Molecule: ribosomal RNA, 3239 nt
Filed under: Durio zibethinus
Lineage: Eukaryota; Viridiplantae; Streptophyta; Magnoliopsida; Malvales; Malvaceae
Description: eukaryotic LSU rRNA
Rfam family: Eukaryotic large subunit ribosomal RNA
Source: RNAcentral
AUGACUUUAGGUUAGGUAAAAUCACCUGUUGAGCUUAAGCACAUCAAUAAGCAAAGGAAAAGAAACUUACCAAGAUUCUCCUAGUAAUGUUAAGCGAACCAAAAAGAGCCUAGCUUGAAAAUCAGUGUUUGAAUUGUAGUCUGGAGAAGCAUCCUCAGUGGUAGACCAAGCCUAAGUCCCUAGAAAGGAGCACCAGAGAGGGUGAGAGCCCCAUUAUGCUUGGACCCUAUUACACCAUGAGGCACUAUUUAUGAGUUGAGUUGUUUGGGAAUACAGCCCCAAUCGGGCAGUAAAUUCUAUCCCAGGCUGAAUUUGGGUGAGAGAUUGAUAGUGAACAAGUACCAUGAGGAAAAAUGAAAAGGACUUUGAAAAGAGAGUUAAAAAGUGCUUGAAAUUGUUAGGAAAGAAAUGGAUAGGGCCUGAUGAUGUGCCCCAAUUAGAUGUGGGAUUGCGAGAGUCAGUCCAUCGAUCAGCUCGGGGCAUGUACUAAUAUGGAUCAUAGUGGCAGCCCAAGCUUGGGCUUUCAAUAUGCCCAUUGAGACGUCAUCACCGUGAUCAUGGAAUAAAGUACGUGCCAUCUUAACCUACCUCAGCACCUAUACACUUUCGGUGUCACUUUGCGAGCUCCCUAUCUGACCCAUCUUGAAACACGAACCAAUGAGUCUGAAUGUAUUCAAGUUAACAGGCUAGAAAACUCAUAAAAUAUAAGGAAGCUGAUUGGUAGGAUCCUUCAUGGGUGUACCAACGAUUGACCGUGAUCUUCUGAGAAGGGUUCAAGUGUGAGCAUGCCUAUUGGGACCCAAAAAUGGUGAACUAUGCCUGAGUAAUGUAAAGCCAGAGGAAACUCUAGUGGAGAUUCACAGUGACAUUGAUGUGUAAAUCAUUCAUUUGACAUGGGUAUAGGGGUGAAAGACUAAUCAAAGCAUCUAGUAACUAGUUCCCUCUGAAGUUACCCUCAAGAUGGCUGGAGCCCUUAGCGAAUUCUAUAGGGUAAAGCCAAUGAUUAGAGACAUUGGGGGUGCAAUGCCCUCGACCUAUUCUCAAACUUUAAAUAGGUAAGACGGCAUGGCUGCUUUAUUGAACAUCACCAAGAAAUUGAGAGCUCAAAGUGGGCCAUUUUUGGUAAGCAAAUAUGAUGAUGUAGGAUGAAAAUGAAGCUAAGUUAUGGUGCCUAAUUAUGCACUAACCUAGAACCCAUAAAGGGUAUUAGUUACUUAAGAUAGUAGGACGAUGGUCAUAAAAGUUGAAAUUUGCUAGGGAGUGUGUAAUAACUCGCCAAAUAAACUAGCCUUGAAAAUGGAUGGUGCUUAAGCACACAACCUAUACCUGGCCAUCAGGGCGAGGGCCAUUCCUCGAUGAGUAAGAGGGCGUGGUAGUCAUUGUAAAACUCAGAAUGUGAGCCGAUGUAAAGUGACCAUUAGUGCAAAUCUUAGUGGUAGUAGAAAAUAUUCAAAUGAGAACUUUGAAGGUCGAAGAAUGGAAAGGUUCCAUGUGAACAACUCUUGCAUAUGGGCUAGUCAAUCCUAAGAAAUGGGAAAAACCCAUCCAAUAGCACGUCUAGUACAAGCUUCAAAAGAAAAUCUGGUUAAAAUUCUUGAACUAGGACAUAGUGGCUGACGACAACUUUAGGGAGUCUGGAGAUGUUUGCUGGGGCCUUGAAAUGAGUUAUCUUUUCUGUUUAACGACUUGCCCACCUGAAAAUGACUCAGCUAGAGGUAGGGUCUAGUCAUCCAAAGAGCAUUGCAUGCCAUGUGGUGUCUAGUGCACCUUCAACGGUCUUUGAAAAUUAGGAAGAUCGAGUGCCAUCCACGCCUGAUCAUAUUCAUAACUGCAUCAGGUUUCCAAUGUAAAUAGCCUAUGGUUGAUGAAACAAUGUAUGCGAAGGAAGUUGACAAAAUGAAUGUGUAACUUUGAGAAAAGGAUUGGCUCUAAGAGCUUGGCAUAGGGGUCAUAAUCCUGAACCCGUUAGCUACCGAUGCAUUGCUCGAGCUACUCCCAUAGUGAGAAUGGGUCAUCGCAUGCUAGUCGAGGGACAAACUAGGAAUGACUCCCUUAGGGUCCUUCCCCAUACAAUGAAUAGUUAUCUCAAAAUUGGUAUGGACAAGGGGAAUUCGAUUGUUUAAUUAAAACAAGGCGUUAUGAUGGUCCCUACAAAUGCUCACUCAAUGUGAUUUUUGCUUAGUGCUUUGAAUGUCAAAGUGAAGAAAUUCAACCAAGUGUAGGUAAAUGGUAGGAGUAACUAUGACUCUCUCGAGGUAGCCAAAUACCUCAUAAUCUAAUUAGUGAUGCAUAUGAAUAGAUUAGUGAGAUUCCUACUAUCCCUGUCUAUUAUCCAAUGAAACCAUAAGUAAGGGAAUGGGCUUGGUAGAAUCAGUGGGGAAAGAAGACCCCAUUGAGCUUGAUUCUAGUCUAACUUUGUGACAUGACUUGAUAGGUGUAGGAUAAGUGGGAGCCUUCAAGUAAAAUCAUAAUACCACUACUUUUAACAUUAUUUUACUUAUUCUCUGAAUGAAAAGAAAAGCAUGACCCCUUCUUUUAGACCCAUGGUCAACCUUGGUCAGUCAAUCUGAGUGAAAGACAUUUUUUGGUAGGGAGUUUGGCUUGGGCAGCCCAUUUAUUAAAAGAUAACACAAGUGUCCUAAGAUAAGCUUAAUGAGAAUAGAAAUCUCGUGUGGAACAAAAGGUUAAAAGCUCAUUUGAUUCUAAUUUCUAGUACAAAUAUGAACCAUGAAGGCAUGGCUUAUUUAUCCUUUAGAUCUUCAUAAUUUGAAGCUAGAGGUGUCAGAAAAGUUACCACAAGGAUAAUUGGCUUGUGGUAGCCAAGCAUUCAUAGCGAUGUUGCUUUUUUACCUUUCGAUGUUGGCUCUUCCUAACAUUGUGAAACAGAAUUCACCAAGUGUUGGAUUGUUCAUCCACUAAUAAAGAAUGUGAGCUAGGUUUAGACCAUCAUGAGAUAGGUUAGAUUUACCCUACUGAUGGCAGCUUCCCAACAGUAAUUCAACCUAGUACGAAAGGAACCACUGAUUUGCACAAUUAGUCAUUGCACUUGGUUGAAAAGCUAGUGGCGUAAAGCUAUCAUGCUUUAGAUUAUGACUGAAUGCCUCUAAGUCAAAAUCUGGGCUAGAAGCAAUGUACAUGCUCAUUGCUCAAUUGCCAACCUAUAGUAGGGGCCCAUAACCCCUAAGGGUAUGUGUCAUAGGUGCAGCCCUCAUGGCGGACAAGCCAUACGUGCCUCUUUG